RNAcentral lists this ribosomal RNA (253 nucleotides) under uncultured bacterium. Its description in RNAcentral is "partial 16S ribosomal RNA". It matches the Rfam family "Bacterial small subunit ribosomal RNA", at positions 524 to 776 of the family's 1533-position model. The record is from RNAcentral.
UACGUAGGGUGCAAGCGUUAAUCGGAAUUACUGGGCGUAAAGCGUGCGCAGGCGGUCUCGUAAGACAGGUGUGAAAUCCCCGGGCUUAACCUGGGAACUGCGCUUGUGACUGCGAGGCUGGAGUGCGGAAGAGUGAGGUGGAAUUCCACGUGUAGCAGUGAAAUGCGUAGAGAUGUGGAGGAACACCGAUGGAGAAGGCAGCCUCCUGGUCUAGCACUGACGCUCAUGCACGAAAGCGUGGGGAGCAAACAGG